This 855-nucleotide long non-coding RNA is filed under the name Ananas comosus (pineapple). RNAcentral's name for it is "long non-coding RNA (ACOM_LNC009726)". The record is from RNAcentral. Lineage: Eukaryota; Viridiplantae; Streptophyta; Magnoliopsida; Poales; Bromeliaceae.
AAGAUAUAAGGGAAAACUUCAAAAAAUCCCCCUGUGGUUUCGAAGUUUCUCACUUUGCCCCCCUGUGGUUUAAAAUGUAUCAAUUUGCCCACCUGUGGUUUCGUUUUUAUUUUUUCGGUAGCUUUUUCGUUAAUAUUUUAUUAAAUUAUAUACAAAAAACUUCAGAUACCCAUCUAGAUUUAUUAAAUAUUCACUUUAGUACCCUUUAAUUUUAACUUUAUCAUUGAUUUAAGAAAAAAAAAAUAAUGAAAUUGAUAAGAAAAAGAAAAAAAAGAAACAACAGGGGGGAAAUUGAUACAUUUUAAACCACAGGGGGGCAAAGUGAGAAACUACGAAACCACAUAGGGGUUUUUGAAGUUUUCCCAAGAUAUCUAUUAAACAUAAUGAAUCCACAAUAUUUCUUGCCACGUGGCAAGAAAUCCUUCAUUCUUAGGUUAAUAAAUAAUAUCCAUCUCUUAUAUGAAUCCCCAAUAUAAAAUUCGUUUUUCUCCACUUCUAAAUGCUUAAUCCUUCACCUCUCCAUAUUUAAUUACAUGCAUUAUAUUCCACCAAUUAGUGAGCUUUGUAACUCCAAUCCACUCUCCUCCAUCAUUAAUCCUCACUUCUAAAUGCUAUGCUAAACCCUUCACCUCUCCACAUUUAAUCACAUUGUAUCAUAUUCUAUCAAUUAGUGAGCUUUGUAACUCCAAUCCAUUCCCCUUCACCAUUAAUCUCCACUUCUAAAUGCUCAACCCUUCACCUCUCCAUAUUUAAUUACAUGCAUUAUAUUUCACAAAUUAGUGAGCUUUGUAACUCCAAUCCACUCCCCUCCAAUUUGGAACUUCAAUUCCUUUACCUGGUAGAGAGAAAGAGAUU